GUAUCCUGCCUAGCACUGGCUGAGGGAGCAGAAAGACAGAGUUGCACUGCACAUCCAAUGCCUGGAGGCAUGAAUACCAAACACAAUGGGAAAAGUUCUGAAGUUUCUGUAACUAAAAGCUUCCAAGAAGUGCAUGGAAACCAAACUUCAUAAUACUUUCAGUAGGUUUCUAAAUGCAAUAGCUUCAGAGAAAGAAGAGUUGGCAGCAUCUAAGAGACCAAAUGUGUCUCAGAAUAGUUGGGCAGAUAAAGAAUUUCAAGGGAAUAGAAAUACAUCCUCAAAGAGAAUUUGCAACAGUAUGGAAAAUGUAAAGACUGGUCUGUUAGGUAGAAACAGUUGAGGGCUAAGUUGCUAGAGAAGAUGGCUGAUGUUUAUUUUGCAAAGCUAAAAAGAUUGGAGGAAGACAUAAGCAAUUGGAAAGGGGGAAAAAAAAAGAAGAACUAUUAAGUCACUGCUCACAAACCACUGGGACCAGAAUUCCCAGCCUGGCAGCUUCUAGCUCUAAUUUUCAGCUUGCUAGUCUUUUCUUUUUGUAAUGGUUCUAUUAUUGUGAUUUAUAAAUAGAAACCAGCCAUUUCCAAAGUGUUCUGAGCAAAGGUUUCAUAAUCUUGACAUUUUGUCUUUGGAUGUAAUUUGUACAUAGUGAAGAAAUAGUAAAAGAGA
Molecule: long non-coding RNA, 663 nt
Organism: Oxyura jamaicensis (ruddy duck)
Lineage: Eukaryota; Metazoa; Chordata; Aves; Anseriformes; Anatidae
Exons: 2
Source: RefSeq, a predicted model, not a curated record